GACGAACGCUGGCGGCGUGCCUAAUACAUGCAAGUUGAGCGCUGAAGGUUGGUACUUGUACCAACUGGAUGAGCAGCGAACGGGUGAGUAACGCGUGGGGAAUCUGCCUUUGAGCGGGGGACAACAUUUGGAAACGAAUGCUAAUACCGCAUAAAAACUUUAAACACAAGUUUUAAGUUUGAAAGAUGCAAUUGCAUCACUCAAAGAUGAUCCCGCGUUGUAUUAGCUAGUUGGUGAGGUAAAGGCUCACCAAGGCGAUGAUACAUAGCCGACCUGAGAGGGUGAUCGGCCACAUUGGGACUGAGACACGGCCCAAACUCCUACGGGAGGCUGCAGUAGGGAAUCUUCGGCAAUGGACGAAAGUCUGACCGAGCAACACCGCGUGAGUGAAGAAGGUUUUCGGAUCGUAAAACUCUGUUGGUAGAGAAGAACGUUGGUGAGAGUGGAAAGCUCAUCAAGUGACGGUAACUACCCAGAAAGGGACGGCUAACUACGU
This 496-nucleotide ribosomal RNA is filed under the name uncultured bacterium. RNAcentral describes it as "partial 16S ribosomal RNA". It matches the Rfam family "Bacterial small subunit ribosomal RNA", at positions 28 to 506 of the family's 1533-position model. The record is from RNAcentral.